This 324-nucleotide ribosomal RNA is filed under the name uncultured bacterium. RNAcentral describes it as "bacterial SSU rRNA". It matches the Rfam family "Bacterial small subunit ribosomal RNA", at positions 173 to 509 of the family's 1533-position model. The record is from RNAcentral.
AUAAGCUGUGAGUAUCGCAUGAUACAAGCAGAAAAGGAGCAAUCCGCUGAUAGAUGAGCUUGCGUCUGAUUAGUAGUUGGCGAGGUAACGGCCCACCAAGACGAUGAUCAGUAGCCGGACUGAGAGGUUGAACGGCCACAUUGGGACUGAGACACGGCCCAGACUCCUACGGGAGGCAGCAGUGGGGAAUAUUGCGGCAAUGGAGGAAACUCUGGACGCAGUGACGCCGCGUGCAGGAAGAAGGUUUUCGGAUUGUAAACUGCUUUUAGACAGGGAAGAAGAAGUGACAGUACCUGUAGAAUAAGCUCCGGCUAACUACGUGCC